RNAcentral lists this long non-coding RNA (1501 nucleotides) under Anser cygnoides (Swan goose). Its description in RNAcentral is "lncRNA (ENSACDG00005018456.1)". Lineage: Eukaryota; Metazoa; Chordata; Aves; Anseriformes; Anatidae. The record is from RNAcentral.
AUGCAGCAAAGUAGGUCAGAGCAAAGUGUGAAUAAGCCCGCUUUCCGUGCUGCACCAAGGAGGAGGAGAGAGGAGACCACCAAGUGUCUUAUCUGGAAGCUGCAACAUCAAUGGAAUCAGUCACGGGUAUUCAACUGCCUCAGCAAGAGGGUGCCAAUUAACAGGAACCAGACAGAGAUGAACGCUGCCCCUUCGAGAUGGAAACAGGAGGAGCUGCGUCUACCCCAUGCCCUGGACAGCCCAGGUGUGUGCUUAGGUUUUUCUAGUGACUGCUUCCCCUCUGUCUGACCCUGCACCCAAGCCUGGCUGUGUUACUUGUAGGGUGAUGGGGCACAGAUUCCUUGGCCAAGGUCUGCCAUAGGGGACAUUUUUGUCUUUCCUUCUUCGUGUCUGGGAGAGUGUGUGAUCUAGGUGUUUCCUUAGGAUUGGUGGACUCGAGGCACAGCAGGCAGCAUCCUGCUGGUGGGGGCUUUGUUGUUUAUUAAUAGCACAGCCAGUGGAAGUGCUGACAGAGUAGCUUCUGCUGGGGGAGAGGCACGUGUGUGGUUUUAGCAUGGGAGAUACCUUUUUCUGCCAUCAGCAGGAAGAGACGUGAAGCCACUCUGGUGGCUCCAUUUAACUGCUGAGGCACUGGAGAUGCCUUUUUGUCAGUGCAGGAGCCAAAGUGGUGCUUCGCCAGGGACAGACCUUACGUGGCAUGCUCAGUGAUUUUAAAAUUGUACAGGAUGUACUAUAUAUCAUCAUUGUAAAAGAGGCUAAUUUAAGGCCAUUGAUCAGGCCUUGAAGUUUUUUUCCAGUGAGUUUAACAGUUUGUAAAUUGUUUCCGGGAGAAGGCAUUUGCCUUUAUGAGUUGCUUGUAUUUUUGGUAUUGUAUAUCCCAGCUUGAUCAUUGUUAAUUAGUGUCAUGCUUCUGUGUUUUACUGCAAGCAGAAUUACUUCACUUACUAAUGGCUCUUUGCUGCUGCUAAAUUCCUAUUCUAGUAGUUGAGCAUGAAAGUUAAUUUUUCUUCCCUCACUACAUUUCUUCACUGCCUUUGUCUUAUCUGAAGUGGUUGACUGGCAAAAGUUUCUCUUUUGUAAACAAGCAGAUUAAAAGGAAAGGUGUUGGAUUAAAGACGGCAGACUCCAGUCUGAUCCUAUGAAAGUCAAUGGCAAAAUCUCCCAUAAGUCACAGUGAAUACAAUACCAGAAAGAAAAGGGCUCUCAAGGUGUAAUAUUAGUGUGAUUUUAAAGGGAAGUGGAAUGUAGUAUUCUUUCUUUCUCUUCUUGUUUGCAGCUACCUUUUUUUUUUUUGUUUUCUUCAGUGUAGCAAUCCUGAUGAGUUAGCAAAACACAGCUUUUGUACAGGGAAUUUGUGAAAACUUUAUUACAAAUUAAAACACAGUGCAAAAGCUCAUGCUAUUGGUCUGAGUGAGUUUGAACAUGCUUGACAGCAAAAAAAGCUGUUGAAUAGAGAGAACUGGCUGUCUGAAUAAAGGCCCAGUAUAUGUGAAGGCUCUCA